Long non-coding RNA from Epinephelus fuscoguttatus (brown-marbled grouper), 6128 nucleotides. RefSeq lists it as uncharacterized. The record is from RefSeq and is a predicted model, not a curated record. NCBI's taxonomy places the organism in Eukaryota, Metazoa, Chordata, Actinopteri, Perciformes, Serranidae. The transcript has 3 exons.
AACACGACACAGUGUUUUCACAGGGUCCUGGAGUACACCUGUGCUUCCCCGCAGCAAGAUGAGACGUGAAACCACAGCAACCCAUUCACACAUUACUCAAGUCUUUACUCGCUAAAGUCCAGUUAAGACCAAAGAUUCGCGACGAGACGAGACGAGACGAGACGAGGAGAAACAAGCAACGACUUGCGAUGCAUCGUUCUGCAACGUUCUAAAAACCUGCUGCUUCACACCAAUGCAACUAGAGUUGGAAAACUUAAAAAGAACCAGAGUGGAGAGGAACUGGCUUCGGUGAAGAGCUGGGAGAGCUGGGCUCUGGAUCAUCGCUCUGUGCGGAUGUACUUACUGCCACAGAACACUCCAUUAUCUCAAAAUGACAGCUAAAUUGGCCUGUCAACAAAGCUACACUCAUCUAAGCAACUUCACUGGUGCAUUAGUGCUUCUUCCAAACAUAGAUCAGGGAUAUGGGGCAUCUCUUCCGUUCUGGAAGCCACAGGGGGAAAUUAGAGAGUUUCUAAGUGCUGCACUAUUCAAACAUGCAGGCUUGGCUGUUGGUUGGUUUCCCUUGCCUAUCAGAAUCCAAGAUGAGCUGCUUGAGUAUUUUGUUCAUGAUUGCUUAAAGUUGAGUUAAAAAAAAAAAAAAAAAACAUAAAAAAAAAAUAAAAGAAAUAUCAUCCCAAUGAAUCAGGGGAACAAAAUGCUGCUGAAUAAUAGUAGCAUUCAAUUGAUGGUGUUAUUAAGUCAAAGAUAGUAUUCCCUUUGGCUGCUUCAACUUGAACUCCAGUGAAGAGAACUGAACUUUACUGUCUUUUAAUAAAAGCAGCCACUCUAACUAUCUAUUCAUCUAUUCUUUAGUUUAUCAAAAACUGACCUUAAGUCUUUUAAACAGUCUGAAUGCAACAUUCAGAGCAUUAUUACUGACGCAAACCACAAUUUGCUAUAUAAAGAUAUUGUGGGAAAAUGGCAUAUUAAAUAGAGAAUGAUGUCAUGCAACCGCUUUGUGUGUUGUAAUCUCAGAUUCUUUGUGGGUUCUUGUGGUAAGCCAGUCCAGCCAGGCAUGCAUGUUAGUGCAUGUGUGCAGCAUUGUGGAAGCAUAGCGUCCACCCUCUGGUCGCCCCCUUAGUAACACUGUUAGCUCUGUCAGCAUUGCCGUUGUUAAGCGCUGUUUAUGAAGUUAGCACUGUUAGCUGCUAGCCGCUGGCUCAGUCACUUCUAAGGUGAGAACUGUGUCCAGACAACUCAAAAGCCACGUUUCUACUAAACACUUUCUGUAUGGUACAUUUGGAACCAAAAGUAACCCUUCAGACAUGGUACCUAGACCCUAACGUUUCCACCACUAACAGCACCCUUAAAUGUGGGCGGGGUUAUUGUCACUCACUGCUCCAUCUAGCACUCGCUGUAUUUCCUCUUAUUAGUCUGCACCUUGUUUAUCGUCCACAGAACAGGGCUGCACGCCAACAUUUCCAGAACAAAACAGAACAGGAGUGAGAGUCUAUCUUAAAGGGAUGUUUAAAAAUAGCGGGUUUGCGCAUUUAGUCCUUCUCAGGCAAGCUCAGGGGUUUAGUGUUGCCGGAGCCCACAGGAAAAACGCUCGGCAACGCUUUCUUUUCUCCGAGUGAGGAGAUAAACAAUUUUUUUUAUCUUUUUAAAUGUUUGAAAAUCCACUCACUACUAAAAGUGUGAGUCAUCCAAGAGAGAUGAUAAAAUCUAAAGUAAUGGUCAAAGUUGUCACAUUGAAAUUUAAGGUGUGCUGAUGGAUUCACGUCAUUAACUCAUAUACUGAGCAACAUAACAAGUAAAUGUUCCACCUUAAAAGUUGUCGGCAGUAGGCCCAGCAAAUUCUUAGACUACAGCUGCUGCAAGAGGCAAAACAUCCUCUCAUUUUAUAGUUACAGUCUACAUACAUAUGGAAAACUCUCCACAGUAUGUACAGUGGUUAUAUAAGCAUCAAAACCAGCCACAACUCAGCCUUGAGCAGAGUGACCGUCUGCUACUGACCAAUCAAUAGACUGCAGUGUUCAAAGCUCCACCUUUUAGUACCAGAUCUGUGUGCUCGGUACCCCAACAGAGGGGGGACCAGAAAUGGUGACAGUGCGGAACGGUUCUCUUUGUACCAUCCACAACUUUUCACAGUGGAAAUGGAAAAAAAAAAGUGUACCAAACUGAACUGUACUGUACCAUACUGCUCAGUGUAAAACAGGGCUCAACACUCGGAAUGUCACACAGAGCCCCUUUAACAUAACACAGUACAAAUUUUAAUAUUUUUGCCUGGAUCUGUCACCCCAAAUCAGUAUCCCCUUUGUGGCUCUUAGCUGACUAUGAUUAGCUUUCCUGUAUAUCUCCUGACAUAUCUGCAGAACUUAAGCAGGUAACUUAAGUCAGCCAACUCUGAAUUGCAGCAUUACUGCUCUAAACUCCUGUGAAUUAAAUUGCCUGAAUGUGUGUCUGGUAAAUCCCUAAAGCAACGCCACUAUCUCCAGUCCGGGCUGUUGAGGACUCAUCCGUCCCCUAACAGACUGUACACCCACUCUACGCCUCAGGCUUAUCAGUCUAUUAAAAAAAAUGCCUUGUGUAAAUUAAUGCUUGAUGGAUACCACUAAGCAUAAUUAAAAAGGUUGCUACAUGUAUGCUGUAGAGUUUCACCGUCCAAUGCUCAAUGCAGUACAUAUGGAUAUGUAAAUCACAGGGAAAAACGGGUAGCUAAAGUCUGUAGAGGAUAUCUUUUUUAGGUUCUCUAAAAUGUUUACACCACUGAGUGUCUGUAGAAUUGUGUCUAGAGAAAAGAAACUACUUUGCAUUUCUAUAGUCAGACUUUGAGGUAGGGAGCUUAGCUUAGCAACAUGGAGACUGAAAAUCAGACAAGCAGCUCAUUUAUAAUCUUUUGGUUAGGGUUUGUCUCAAAUCCACUAGGAGUUCCCUGCCAGAUAUAUCCCUUUGCAGAAAAGCUAGCCUCCAUAACAGGACUCUGCGCUUGUGUGUAUGUGUGCACAUGCCCGUAUUAUUGUUCAGAGAUAGUGCAAGAGAAAAUGUGUGGGAGGAAAUAGUGCAUUUCAGAAAGUCAUCAGAACCUUUUGCAAAGUACUGUAGCACUGUGUCGCUGGCAAGGACAGUUGGGGUGGCCUUAAGCAAAGAUACUGCCUCGGAGCCUUGCUUCUCUGUUUGCGCAUUUACCGGUAUGAUAUGAGACAAAUUUGACCAGAGGACAAUUCAUUCUACACCUUCGCCUUUCUUGUGGGCAAAACUGGACAGUACAAAUGGCCCUGUGUGUCUGUGUGUGGUUGCAUACAGCACAUGUCCUGUAUGUGCAAAAGCCAGCAUGCCCCCGCAUCAAUGAGAUUGAACAGAGCUGAGUGGGCAAGCUGGCAGGUGGGGCUCCUACAGAGAAGACCUUGACUGGAAGGCAAGAUACCUUUGAAAAAAAAAAAAAAGAAAAAAAAAAAGUAAUUUGCUGCACCUACUCAGAAAUCAACCACCAAGAGUUUUAUGCUGAGAGAGGUCGGAAGAUGCAGCGAGGCGAUUCACGCUGGUUGUUGUUACCAUUUAAUUUAGGGUGGCUGUCUAUAUAUGGAGAGAGCGGUUAGAAUACACUAACACCCCGUUAAUCAUUUCUUUCCUUCGAACUGAGAAUGUGGGCCAAGAAAAACAGUGUGAAUUUUGCUUAUAAUAAGCAAUACUAACAGAGAUAAAUUAAAGCCAGCGCUGAAAGUCUGGGGAUACUUGAGGAUGUAUUGUUACGAUAAGCCAUCUGAUGUAUUAUGAUAAAUGUCCUAAAGUACUCUCACUGUGUUGUGUGCAUCAUCAAGACAUGUAAAUGUAAACUGCCAGAGUGCCUUGGCAGAACAUCAGUCAGUCUAAUCUAACAAGACUUAAUCUAUAACUGGAGAUAAACAAGAAGAGCUGAGUAAUUCCAGAAAGCUGCAGAGUUUUAUGGGGAAAACAGGAAAGUGGAGAAGGCUGGUCACAAUGGACCCAAGGCUAUAAGCUCUGACUGUAACUAGUAUGGAUCUCUGUUUACCAAUGACCCAUCCCACUCUCCUGCUUCUCUUUCAUGCCUUAUUGCCAUCAAGACAAGACAGGCAGUGGCUAAUUACUGUACAGCAACAAACAAACCAAUACCUCUCUAUCUCUCUGGUCAUGUCCCAUUACUUCAGCUUAGUUCCCCUAUUCAUAUUUCUCUUGACAGGUGCAUCUGUCCAUGGAGAAUGAGGCAGUGUUUCAAUCGGCAGGCAGAGGAUGUCGUAAUUUAGAGGUGUACCUCUGGGCUAACACAUGGCUCAGCCAAGGUGAAAAUGACGGAGGGAGUGGAGUUUUAUUGAACACAACGGGGUUCUUGUCAAUAACGCUGCCACUUGGCAUUGUGUUCGAUGCCGUUAUUAAUGCUUGGGGUCCGCGCGCAUCUGCACAUGACUGUGCAUCUGUGCAUGUUUGUGUCUGACCUUCCCCGGCAAGUAUCGGUAGGUGCGAUGAUCAGGAUAGACUCUUUCCUCUCUGCCAGUUUCUCACAGGCAACACAGGAAUGUGUUGAACACCCACAUGCUCAAGCGCUGAAUCAAUGUGAGUCAAGGAGAGAGAGAAAUCGGGGGGGAAGGAGGGACAAUGUGGGGGGAGAAAAGCGGCAGACUCUGCGUGUGUGUCUGAGGGAGAGGGAAAGCGGGAGAGAAAUAAGAGGGAGUCUGAAAUGAGACAGCAAGGAUAGGAGUGCACAGAUUGAUAUAGCAAUUACCAAGAAAGCUAUCCCUCAGUUAGGAAUACAUCUACAUACAUUAGAGCAGGGGUUGCUCUCCAGCCACUGUUUCUCUGAGGUCAGCUCGGCGGCGUCUCAUACACAAACGGAGCACGAGAAAAGGUCAUCGCUGGGCAGCCACUGCGCACACACUAACAAUGAAGAGCCCAUCUAUCGUGCUUGUUGCUCAUACCACCAGAGGAAGAAAUCCAUCUGGUUGGCAGGGGAAGAAUGAAAAUAAACUCCCAAAAAGAGAAGCUGAAGUCUAUCUUCAUAUACAGACAUAUUGCACAAGAAAAAAAAAACAGAAUGAUCAGCUUCUCCGCACUGGCCUGAUGUCUAUGAUGUUUACUGGAAUUCCCAAGUGGGCUGUAAUUCAAGGCGCGUCUCAGUGCGUCAUCCCAUAAACAUGAACGUGGUCAAUUACCUGUCACUGCACAGAUGAACGCACGCAGCGUUCGGGAAAGCGACUUACACUUGGAAGCGACGCUCGCCACAGUGAGAUUCAAAGGACUGGCUGUCAUGCACACUUUCCCUGAGCUAGCAAGUAAAUCCGGUUAUAGUUAGCCUAUAAUGUAUGCAGAGAGAGGACCGGCAUAUGCUUGUGCAGUGACUACAGGCCCUGCAAUAUAUAGAGGGGAGUUUUGCAUGAAAAUGCGACGCUGCUACCAAACGGGCUCAGAGUAUGCAUGUAAGCACGCUAGUAUUUCAAACACCUCUGUUGGUUCAAGACACAUCAGACAAUGAGAACAAAGUGAGAAAGGGAGGGAGAGGGAGACAGAGAGGCAGAAAGAAGGCAGAGAGGCAGAGAGGUGAGGGGGAGUGAGAAAGAUGCUGUGUAAAUAACCCCCUGAAAAAGAAGAUAGAGGUAGAGGACAAGCAGAUGGAAACAAAAACCGUGGUAAAAAUGAUCCAGUGUGACUUGGAUCUCUGCCGCAGGCUCAAAGCUAUGCUCUGUCGGUGUAUGCAUGUCUGCACUGUGUGUGAAUGAAACGUGUGUGUGUGUGUGUGUGUGUGUGUGUGUGUGUGUGUGUGUGUGUACAGUACACGAACAUCAACCGAGCACCAUUCACUGUGUUUUUAUGUCAGAUAGUCGUAGGUGUACGAAAGCUGUGAUGACACAACAAGGCUGGGGAAAUGUGCAGCACAGGUCUGCUAACUGUGCCGUCCUCUCUUUCUGCCGCUGCGUGGAGGACAGGAAAGCGUUAAUAUCCAGCGGAUGUGGGCCGAGGGGUCAAAUUGGUAAGGCUGUACGGGGUGAUACCGAAUUCUCUUUGACAAAGCUCGAUUCAAGGAUCAUGCAUCAGACCAUCACGGCAUUAGAGGAUAGCUUCCAUCUCAUUAAUGGCACACAACUAUACAAGGUGAAGCAGGCUCCUGCUCUGAACAGAGAAUGAGCCAGACUGAA